Long non-coding RNA from Gallus gallus (chicken), 1122 nucleotides. RefSeq lists it as uncharacterized. The record is from RefSeq and is a predicted model, not a curated record. The transcript is spliced from 2 exons. NCBI's taxonomy places the organism in Eukaryota, Metazoa, Chordata, Aves, Galliformes, Phasianidae.
ACCGUUCCCCGUUGGGCCCUUCCCUAGCAGAGCCCUCAGCAGCCUCUGCAAGCAGAGGGAAGUGAGGAAGCUUCAGUUUGCGUGCUGCAGAGGUAUGGAGCUGUCCUACCCCGAACCCGGCUGAGGAGGAAGGCCGCAUUCCCACGCAGUGGGACAGCAGAGCGGGAGGCCGUAGGAGAACCUUAGCAACGACGGCACGGUCCCCUUCUUACCGCUCCUCAGAAACGAGAGAAGCAAUUGCACAGCAGCCUCGCCUGUCCGUGAGAGGUACUGCAUGAGAAGCACGCAAGAGUGGAGCGACCUCAGUCAGCUCGAACUUUUCAGGUGGAGCUUUAUGGGGUGAGCCUCCGUUCAAUGGGCGCCAGAAGCUGCCCCAUGUGGGACCAGGUCUCCUCAGCUGCUGGAUGUGUUCCAGAAGGCACUUGAAAAGUCAAGAUUGCCAAGAGAAUAAUUGGAAAAGAUGUGCGUGUUUUUCUGAGUCUGUGAUUUUUUGUUUUGCCACCCAGCCUGAGUGUGCUACGAAGGAGCCUGCCGCCUUGUGUGCUCUGUGCACUCACAGGACAGGCAGGAGAGCGUGUUCUAAAUAGCCCUCAGCCCCAGAGUGCCCUGCUCUCUGCCCAGUGGCUGUAGCUACUGCUGCCAGUGAGCUCCAGCCAGUCUGGAGACACGUGGGGCUCUGGUCAGUUUUGAAUGGUGGCCAUAAAGCCAAGGUAGUGUUGGUAUGUCUUUGCAAGAGGAUGGAUAUGCAUACACAUACAUAUAUCAACACAGCAGAGAAAGAAGAACAAAGGCAGAAUGCAAUGGAUCCACCCCAGCAAGACUGCAGCCAUUGCCCCUCUCAUCUUCCGCCCCGUCUCUGAAGGCCUCUCAGCACUCUGAGCAUACAAAUGCCCUCCUGCAAAGUGGGCUCCAAUGGGUUCUGCACCGAAGCAAGGAAGUUCAGCGCACGAGCAGCCUGCAAGAUCAGCCCUCUGGGACAAGCAGUCUGUGCUCAGUGUCAGACACAUCAGGGAGCCGAAAUUGAAAAGCUAGUCCAGUGCUUGCUGGGCACAGGGCUUCCAUGACGUGAUUUCAAAUGGCUAUGUUGCUUUUACACUUGACAGUAAAGCAUAAGCACCUGAC